UACAGAGGUCCCAAGCGUUGUUCGGAUUCAUUGGGCGUAAAGGGUGCGUAGGUGGCGCCGUAAGUCGGGUGUGAAAUUUCGGAGCUUAACUCCGAAACUGCAUUCAAUACUGCGGUGCUUGAGGACUGGAGAGGAGACUGGAAUUCAUGGUGUAGCAGUGAAAUGCGUAGAGAUCAUGAGGAAGACCAGUGGCGAAGGCGGGUCUCUGGACAGUUCCUGACACUGAGGCACGAAGGCCAGGGGAGCAAACGGG
This 253-nucleotide ribosomal RNA is filed under the name uncultured bacterium. RNAcentral describes it as "partial 16S ribosomal RNA". It matches the Rfam family "Bacterial small subunit ribosomal RNA", at positions 524 to 776 of the family's 1533-position model. The record is from RNAcentral.